GAACGUGUCGUGCCAAAGCUCGUCCUUGUGGCGUGGCUGGGUGCGCGCUUCCUAGCUUCGGGGCUCAGGCCAGCAAUGGUCUCCCGAUCAUUUACUUUGAAAAAAUUAGAGUGUUCAAAGCAGGCGUAACCUUGCCAUUGAAUAUUACAGCAUGGGAUAAUAGAAUAUGACGUUGGUCUUAUUUUGUUGGUUUCUAAGGCUGAUGUA
Molecule: ribosomal RNA, 207 nt
Filed under: uncultured fungus
Lineage: Eukaryota; Fungi
Description: partial small subunit ribosomal RNA
Rfam family: Eukaryotic small subunit ribosomal RNA (bases 77-207)
Source: RNAcentral